GGGGUUGUGGCUCAGUGGCAGAGCACUUGCCUCACAUGUAUGAGACACUGAGUUCCAUCCUCAGCACCACA
This 71-nucleotide transfer RNA is filed under the name Marmota monax (woodchuck). RNAcentral's name for it is "tRNA.Val". It matches the Rfam family "tRNA". From Rfam's summary of the family: Transfer RNA (tRNA) molecules are approximately 80 nucleotides in length. Their secondary structure includes four short double-helical elements and three loops (D, anti-codon, and T loops). Further hydrogen bonds mediate the characteristic L-shaped molecular structure. tRNAs have two regions of fundamental functional importance: the anti-codon, which is responsible for specific mRNA codon recognition, and the 3' end, to which the tRNAs corresponding amino acid is attached (by aminoacyl-tRNA synthetases). tRNAs cope with the degeneracy of the genetic code in two manners: having more than one tRNA (with a specific anti-codon) for a particular amino acid; and 'wobble' base-pairing, i.e. permitting non-standard base-pairing at the 3rd anti-codon position. Lineage: Eukaryota; Metazoa; Chordata; Mammalia; Rodentia; Sciuridae. The record is from RNAcentral.